GCAACGCCGCGUGUGUGAUGAAGGUCUUCGGAUCGUAAAGCACUUUCGACCGGGACGAAAACCCCUUGGCUAACAUCCAGGGGCGUUGACGGUACCGGGAGAAGAAGCACCGGCUAACUCUGUGCCAGCAGCCGCGGUAAUACGUAGGGAGCAAGCGUUGUCCGGAAUCAUUGGGCGUAAAGCGCGCGUAGGCGGCCUUGUAAGUCCGUUGUGAAAGUCAAAGGCUCAACCUUUGAAAGCCGAUGGAUACUGUGAGGCUAGAGUCCGGAAGAGGCGAGUGGAAUUCCUGGUGUAGCGGUGGAAUGCGCAGAUAUCAGGAGGAACACCAAUAGCGAAGGCAGCUCGCUGGGACGGUACUGACGCUAAGGCGCGAAAGCGUGGGGAGCGAACAGGAUUAGAUACCCUGGUAGUCCACGCCGUAAACGAUGGGCACUAGGUGCGGGAGGUGUCGACUCCUCCCGUGCCGUCGCUAACGCACUAAGUGCCCCGCCUGGGGAGUACGGCCGCAAGGCUA
RNAcentral lists this ribosomal RNA (514 nucleotides) under uncultured bacterium. RNAcentral's name for it is "bacterial SSU rRNA". It matches the Rfam family "Bacterial small subunit ribosomal RNA", at positions 391 to 896 of the family's 1533-position model. The record is from RNAcentral.